RNAcentral lists this ribosomal RNA (488 nucleotides) under uncultured bacterium. Its description in RNAcentral is "partial 16S ribosomal RNA". It matches the Rfam family "Bacterial small subunit ribosomal RNA", at positions 28 to 507 of the family's 1533-position model. The record is from RNAcentral.
GACGAACGCUGGCGGCGUGCUUAACACAUGCAAGUCGAACGGAAAGGCCCUGCUUUUGUGGGGUGCUCGAGUGGCGAACGGGUGAGUAACACGUGAGUAACCUGCCCUUGACUUUGGGAUAACUUCAGGAAACUGGGGCUAAUACCGGAUAGGAGCUCCUGCUGCAUGGUGGGGGUUGGAAAGUUUCGGCGGUUGGGGAUGGACUCGCGGCUUAUCAGCUUGUUGGUGGGGUAGAGGCUUACCAAGGCUUUGACGGGUAACCGGCCUGAGAGGAUGACGAGUGACACUGGAACUGAGACAAGGGGAAGAGUCGUAAGGGAGGCAGAAGUGGGGAAUAUUGGACAAUGGGCGAAAGCGUGAUCAAGGCAUGCCGCGUGUGUGAAGAAGGUCUUCGGAUUGUAAAGAACUUUAAGUUGGGAGGAAGGGCAGUAAGUUAAUACCUUGCUGUUUUGAAGUGAACAACAGAAUAAGCACCGGCUAAAUUCGGG